UUCCUGGUGGCUCAGAUGGUAAAAAAUCUGCCUGCAAUGCAGAAGAUGCUGGUUCGAUUCCUGGCUUGGAAA
RNAcentral lists this transfer RNA (72 nucleotides) under Bos taurus (domestic cattle). It matches the Rfam family "tRNA". From Rfam's summary of the family: Transfer RNA (tRNA) molecules are approximately 80 nucleotides in length. Their secondary structure includes four short double-helical elements and three loops (D, anti-codon, and T loops). Further hydrogen bonds mediate the characteristic L-shaped molecular structure. tRNAs have two regions of fundamental functional importance: the anti-codon, which is responsible for specific mRNA codon recognition, and the 3' end, to which the tRNAs corresponding amino acid is attached (by aminoacyl-tRNA synthetases). tRNAs cope with the degeneracy of the genetic code in two manners: having more than one tRNA (with a specific anti-codon) for a particular amino acid; and 'wobble' base-pairing, i.e. permitting non-standard base-pairing at the 3rd anti-codon position. Lineage: Eukaryota; Metazoa; Chordata; Mammalia; Artiodactyla; Bovidae. The record is from Rfam by way of RNAcentral. RNAcentral also lists the same sequence under 2 other names.